This 253-nucleotide ribosomal RNA is filed under the name uncultured bacterium. RNAcentral describes it as "partial 16S ribosomal RNA". It matches the Rfam family "Bacterial small subunit ribosomal RNA", at positions 524 to 776 of the family's 1533-position model. The record is from RNAcentral.
UACAGAGGGUGCGAGCGUUAAUCGGAAUUACUGGGCGUAAAGCGCACGUAGGUGGCGACGUAAGUCGGGUGUGAAAGCCCCGGGCUCAACCUGGGAAUGGCAUUUGGGACUGCAAGGCUUGAGUGCGGCAGAGGAGACUGGAAUUCCUGGUGUAGCAGUGAAAUGCGUAGAUAUCAGGAGGAAUACCGAUGGCGAAGGCAGGUCUCUGGGCUGACACUGACGCUCAUGCACGAAAGCGUGGGGAGCAAACAGG